CGAACGGGUGAGUAACGCGUGAGGAACCUGCCUCAAAGAGGGGGACAACAGUUGGAAACGACUGCUAAUACCGCAUAAGCCCACGGUGCCGCAUGGCACAGAGGGGAAAGGAGCAAUCCGCUUUGAGAUGGCCUCGCGUCCGAUUAGCUAGUUGGUGAGGUAACGGCCCACCAAGGCAACGAUCGGUAGCCGGACUGAGAGGUUGAACGGCCACAUUGGGACUGAGACACGGCCCAGACUCCUACGGGAGGCAGCAUG
RNAcentral lists this ribosomal RNA (258 nucleotides) under uncultured bacterium. RNAcentral's name for it is "partial 16S ribosomal RNA". It matches the Rfam family "Bacterial small subunit ribosomal RNA", at positions 99 to 353 of the family's 1533-position model. The record is from RNAcentral.